GAUGAACGCUGGCGGCGUGCCUAAUACAUGCAAGUCGAGCGAACAGAUGAGGAGCUUGCUCCUCUGACGUUAGCGGCGGACGGGUGAGUAACACGUGGAUAACCUACCUAUAAGACUGGGAUAACUUCGGGAAACCGGAGCUAAUACCGGAUAAUAUAUUGAACCGCAUGGUUCAAUAGUGAAAGACGGUUUUGCUGUAACUUAUAGAUGGAUCCGCGCCGCAUUAGCUAGUUGGUAAGGUAACGGCUUACCAAGGCAACGAUGCGUAGCCGACCUGAGAGGGUGAUCGGCCACACUGGAACUGAGACACGGUCCAGACUCCUACGGGAGGCAGCAGUAGGGAAUCUUCCGCAAAGGGCGAAAGCCUGACGGAGCAACGCCGCGUGAGUGAUGAAGGUCUUCGGAUCGUAAAACUCUGUUAUUAGGGAAGAACAAAUGUGUAAGUAACUAUGCACGUCUUGACGGUACCUAAUCAGAAAGCCACGGCUAACUACGUG
This 497-nucleotide ribosomal RNA is filed under the name uncultured bacterium. RNAcentral describes it as "partial 16S ribosomal RNA". It matches the Rfam family "Bacterial small subunit ribosomal RNA", at positions 28 to 507 of the family's 1533-position model. The record is from RNAcentral.